AAAUUGAAGAGUUUGAUCAUGGCUCAGAUUGAACGCUGGCGGCAGGCCUAACACAUGCAAGUCGAACGGUAACAGGAAGCAGCUUGCUGCUUCGCUGACGAGUGGCGGACGGGUGAGUAAUGUCUGGGAAACUGCCUGAUGGAGGGGGAUAACUACUGGAAACGGUGGCUAAUACCGCAUAACGUCGCAGGACCAAAGAGGGGGACCUUCGGGCCUCUUGCCAUCAGAUGUGCCCAGAUGGGAUUAGCUUGUUGGUGAGGUAACGGCUCACCAAGGCGACGAUCCCUAGCUGGUCUGAGAGGAUGACCAGCCACACUGGAACUGAGACACGGUCCAGACUCCUACGGGAGGCAGCAGUGGGGAAUAUUGCACAAUGGGCGCAAGCCUGAUGCAGCCAUGCCGCGUGUAUGAAGAAGGCCUU
Molecule: ribosomal RNA, 421 nt
Filed under: Salmonella enterica
Lineage: Bacteria; Pseudomonadati; Pseudomonadota; Gammaproteobacteria; Enterobacterales; Enterobacteriaceae
Description: bacterial SSU rRNA
Rfam family: Bacterial small subunit ribosomal RNA
Source: RNAcentral